RNAcentral lists this unclassified non-coding RNA (586 nucleotides) under Hevea brasiliensis (rubber tree). Lineage: Eukaryota; Viridiplantae; Streptophyta; Magnoliopsida; Malpighiales; Euphorbiaceae. The record is from RNAcentral.
AAAAACCAGUAGCAACAACUGCAUCCAUGGGAAAGCAUGGAAGCAUAAAUAUCCAAGAAUCAUAUGCCCCCCACCAUCUAAAAAUGAUGCAUCAACUGGGGACAGUAUAUAAACUCUCUGACAGUGAAGACAUCUCAUAAAUCUCUAUCCUCUUAACUGAAUUAUAAAAUAGACUUAAAAUCAUGCUUUAAUUCAUUAAACCAUGCUCCAAAAUCACAAAGGUUGUGCUCUCAACAUCCCUGGAUCCAAAAAGGAAACGUAUUGUGCUAGCUCAGUUAACAGGCUUCACAAUCUACAACAGAAAUAAAACUCAUGCUAGUGUCACAUCUAUCUAUCCAUAUAUAUAAAGCAGGAAAGUAUUUCCAUGGUGCUGCCAUGUGUCACUUUUUUUAAAGAAUUUACCACAUGUCACCCUAUAUAAAUGAGUGUCUAACUUUCUUUUAAUGUAAUUAUUUAAUUCUUUUUUUUUAAUUAUUAAAAAGUUUACCACAUGUCACCCUCCAUAAACGAGUAUAUAACUCUCUUUUAUGCUAAUUAUUUAAUCAUUUUUUAUUUUUCUUUUAAUUAUCAUUAUUAUUGACAUUUC